UAGCUAGCCAGCCACAAAACUCAGAUGCAAAAGGCAAUGCCAGUGCCGGAUGAUCUCAUCUGCACAUGCACAUCAAUGGAAACAAGGCAAGCCAAGUACAAAAUAAAUAAGCAACAGUACGAGCCACAAUUGCCUGAGCUUUGUAUCCACAGAAACAAAGUAAAACGUAUGCAUUUGAUUUGAUGUGAUUAAAACCAGGUAAAAUGCCAAGUCACUACUUGAAGAUGCAAGAUCAUCUAGAGUAUAUAUCUGUCUUGUUCAAACCAAAACCAAGCUAUUGCUUUAUGAUUUCCUGAGUGCUAAUAAACCAUCUUCGUUUGCUUCAACUCCCAUUUAGAAAAAAAUGAAACUAUACAACGAUUUUGAAUGUUCUGGUUUGACCUAUAUUAUCCUGGCAUCUUAUUCCAUUGACAUGAAAGAUGUACUUAUCAAGUGCAAUUACUGGAGUAACAAAGUAACGGUUUAGUAUGCAAGCAUGCAAGAUUAUAUUACCGGAGGAUCAGCACAAUCGGAAUGAGAAGAACAAUCCGGGUCUUCAGUUUGGACAUCAGACAAUGGAGCCCUGUAACAUUAGAACUAGUUACAAGCUACAACAGAUGAACUAUCCCAGUCAUGAGUUAGGACUUCAGAUGGUGGAUCUAUCAUUUAAAAUUAAGAGUGUCACAAUGUCUGGAUAAACUUACUUAGUGACUUCUUCAAAAUCAGAAGUUUGUAUAUAUAAAAAAACCAAAUUGAAUAAAGACAUACGCAUUAAUUUGAUCA
Long non-coding RNA from Prunus dulcis (almond), 762 nucleotides. RefSeq lists it as uncharacterized. The record is from RefSeq and is a predicted model, not a curated record. The transcript is spliced from 2 exons. Lineage: Eukaryota; Viridiplantae; Streptophyta; Magnoliopsida; Rosales; Rosaceae.